UUAUUUGCAAUAUUGUUAAUAAUAUAUGCAUAAUUUUCAAAAAUUAUCCCAUUUUCCAAAUUAAAUACGUUUUUAAUUUUUUCCACCUCCCUAAAUUGGUUUAUAAUUGUUUUAAUUGGAUUUUCGACAUUAAUGUGGAAGAACGAUUCGAACGUUUUUUCGUUUAAUAUUUUGCGCCCCGAAAUUCUUUUUCCUAAACCGGUAAAAAAAACUCGAUUCUCAAAAAUACGGUUAUCGGUAAAAAAAAUGUCGUAAAUUGUACCGAAUGUUAUUUUUUAUUAUUAAAUAAAAUCGGACCAUAGUUGAAUACGCGUGGGAUAUUAUUUGUUUCGCGGGUUGGUAAUAAAUUUUUUCGAGGUUAAUUUCCGGUCCUGUUUAAUUUCGAAACGGGAAAAAACCAAAUUAUGCAAAACAAAAAUAUAUUUGUUAAUUGUAAUCGGUUAAAUUUGUUAUUUUGCCGUAUUAGCGCGUUAUCGCUCCCGCUGUCGUUUUUUAUCCGCUUUUUCCGCACGUUAUUGCUUUUUUUCUGCGCGUUAUUUUGCUUUUCGCAACUGUUUUCUCAGCUUUUCCACAUUCGUCGAUCCAUUUAUAACGCGUAGGGGCAUAGGUUAUAUUGCGGGUUAAUUAGAAUAUAAUUGUCGCAACCCGAAUAUUUUAAAUUGCGGCGUUAUUUAAAUGGAACCGUAUUACGUACGCAUAUUGCGAGGGGUAAUUUGUCCGAAACACCCAAAUUAACGAAUCGACCGAUGCACGGACGUAUUUAAAUAUACAAUUAACCAGGGCCUUGGGCCGGGUAAUUGGAUUACAUUUGAACUUAUAUUUAUUAGUAAUUUUUGGCGGCUAUAAAACUUCGGCCUUCCAUAUUUAUAUGCAUAUUUGCAGGGACCAAUUGUGCGGUCGUAAUAUUUAAUAGAAAAUUUCCUGCGGCGGUUUUUGCAUCAAAUGGUAUUUAUAGGCGGUUUGGACGGUGUUUAGCCUAUAUAAGCGAUUAGCGAUUCAGGGCUUCAAAUAACGGCCGGACCAUUAAUUUAAUCGUAUAUAAUUGGCUAAUUAAACUUUUAAUUUUGCGUACGGUCCUUUAUUACCUGGCGCCAAAUAAUAAUGGUUUCCUGGCUGUCCAAUUUAAUAUAUUUUACGCGUUGGAGCAGCAAAUACCAUAUAAUAUUAUAUUAGUUAAUUUCGUUGGUACGUUUUAGCCAAAAUAAUAUAUUGGACUAUUAUCGUUAUAAAUAUAAUAUUUCCUAAAUGCGUUAAAAAUGGGGUAAAUUAAAAUAAAAAUUGUAAACUGGUAAUUUACCACGGUAUUACGGUUUUGGAAUAUUGGAGUGGAAUUACAGUCCUAAACGUAUUUGAAUGCGUAUAAACGACGGCGCGUAUUAAAAUAAUUUUAUACCAUUUUUGCCCAGUGCAGGGAUUUUUUUAUACGCCCCGUUUAUAAAAUUCUAUAUCCGCACCGUAUAAAAAUAUAAAAUGUGACCUAUAAUUAUAGGGCCACCUUCCGUUUACGGAAUAUAAUUCCGAUAGGUUUACCCAGUUCGACCACAAUAAUUGCUUUUAUAUCCGGUGUUUUUUUAACCGCCAUGGAUUAUUAGCCCUAUUUUUCCGAAAAACCAUUUGGAUUAUUACCGAAGGUAUUUAGGUAAUUUAGUGUGGAUUUCCUAGUUUUACAUCCCAAAAUGGCCGGCGUUUAAUAAAAAGUAAAUAAAGUAGGAAUAUGGGACAAAAAUAACGAUGGGCGUCCAGAAGUUUUUGGACGAGUUUGGUUCCCAAUAAAUUUCAAACAAAAUUUGUUUUGGCGCAUCCAAAUUUUUAAUUUGUUAAUUUGCCUGUUAAAAGUCCAAUAGCACGGCGAAUAAUUAAAUUUUGCGAAAAAAACCUUUAUUUUUAUAUAUUAUUUUUUUAAUAAGGUUGUAACGUUUUAACGAAGGAAUAUAUAUUUUGGCCCGUUUGCUGCCGACCUAAUAAUACUAACGGCAGUAAUAAAUAUAUAUAAUAGGUUUAAAUUCCAAUUUUGUUUUUUACCCGCAUUUUGGGGUAAAUAUUCCUAUUGGUUUUUACUUUUUAUAAAAAAAUAUAUAUUAAAACGCAUCGAUCCUAUUAUUAUAUUGGCGGUGUCUUUUUUAGGUAAAAAUUAAAUUAGACCUUAACAGGUAGGAAUUUCUGCAGCUCGAACCAUAAAAAACCAAUAUUAAAAAACAAGGGGUUCGAAUAUUUUGCUCCCGUUUAUUUGUAGCUGGUUAUUUGUGGGUUUUUCGGAAUAUUACGUUGGUUGUCCGGGCCGGAUACGUUAUUCCGUACAAUAAAUUAAAAAGCGGUGAAAAUUAGCAAAAUGGGGGAGGGUAAAUACGGACCAGGCCAUUUUUAAAUCCUUUAUUGCGAAGAUUGGCGAUUAGUAAUAUAAUGGGGUUUUUUAUCCUUAUGGUUUAUUAGUUCGCUUUAUAAUUGUUCGAUAACAAAUUAGGCAAUUAGGGUGGGUGGGUAUUUAUUAGAUUCGCUAUUUCGAUUAACGUUUCCAUUUUAAAUGGCAGGUAAUUUUAUCGAUUUAUAUUAUCCUAAUAAAAAACGGGCCCCUCCUUUUUACAAUUCCUAAGCACGGAUUAUAAUAAAUAUGGUAUUUUUUUAUUUUACGUUAAUUGUUUGUUUUAUUUAUUCCUAUUUGUAAUUGCCACCAUUCGUUUUUUCCAUUUCGUGCAUAUAUUAUUAUAGAAUAAUAUAUUAGCCCUUUCGACAUUUUUGGUUUAAAAUAUGGAAUUUAUUUAAAAGACUAGAUCCAAAACGUUUUCCAAAUGGUAUUUUCGAUAAUUUAUAGAAAUUUUCGUAGCGAAAACACGUCCAAUAAACCAAAAUGGCUCACUUUCGAACAAAUAACCAGCGCCAAAAAUUUAUUAUUUAAUUUAUCGCAAAUGGGAUCGCAAUUUACGGAAAAUGCAAAAAAAUUCAGCAUUUUUUCCCGGACAGUUUUUGUGGAAAGAAAGGAUAAAACGAACGAAAUUAUAUUUAUAUCCUUUUUAAAGUUACAAAUCCACGAAUUAUUAGUUUUUUGCGAUAAAUAUUAGGUUAUUAUACAUAAAAAAAACCUGCGACAAUAUCGGCAAACCCAUAAUAAUUAUUAUUAUAUAUAUUGCGAGGCCGAAUUUUUACGAUAAGAAUAUUUGAGCUAUUUUACUAUUAAUAAUUUUAACAAAUGCCAAAUUUGCUGCAAAAUUAUUACGAAAGGGGCGUAUACCAAAUACCUGGAGCGGAUAUAUGGAUGGGCAAAAUACCCCUUUUAUUUAAUAUUUUACCCUAAUUUGGACCGGAUGCAAAAACAUUUGGGCGCGAUAUAUUUAAUAAAACGUUGCAGUUUUUGCCCCGAAAAUAAUAUAUACGAGCUGUUAAUCCAUGUUUUUGUGGGUUAUUAAUAUGUGACCUGCUUUUGCGGGGCCGAAAUUUGCAACGAAUCGCUAUUGGGUUAUUUAAAACGGUAAUAUUAAUUUUCGGCCUGCUUUAGCGGCGAAAUUUGUAUUAUAAACGGUUACGACAAUUACAAUUUUAUUUUGGUUUAUAUUAGCAAAUCGCAUUCCCCAAACCAAUGCCCGGUUUGCGAAUGUUUUAUUUUUGGGACCGGAACGUUUUGGAAUUAUUUAUCCCAAAAAUAUUAUUUCCGGUUUUGCGAAAAAUAUAAUAUUUCGGAUUAUUAUUAAACGGUAACAAAAAUUUAAUUUAAUUAGCGAUAAUUAUACCUGGACGAAAACCAUUUAUGGAAAAAAUAUCGCAAUUGUUAAACUGGUAUUUAAAUAAAUCAAAUGCCAGAAUAUUUCCAAAAUUCCUAUGGUUAUAUAAUAUGCGAUAUUUACGCCGACGUAUGGCCCCCCAAUAAAUUAAAAGGAUAUAAAAUGCGACAGCACCGUCGCUGCGAAAUUUGCGAUAUAUAUAUUUUAAACGAAAAUUACCUCUAAUAUUUAACCACGCACGGAAAAAAACCUUGCCCGCUAUACGACGAAAUUCUUUUCCUAAAUAAAUUUCCCCUUUAUUUUUCGAUUAAAUAUACCGAAACGAAUAUUUGCCCUAUAUCCGAUUGCAAAAUAUAUUAUUUUAAAUUAGGUUUGCAAGUUUAUAUUUGCCAGACCCACGGGUGGGGAAAAUGCCGUUUUUAUAAUAUUAUAACUGUUUUUGGGCAACUAUUGCGAAAUUAUAAAUUUAAAUAUAGCCCCAAAAUUUGCCAGAUUUGUAACGAGCAAAUUCCUGCAAACGAUUUUCGACAAUAUUAAAAGGCCGAAUAUUAAAUCCAAAAAUGCCCCUUUUGCGAAAAAUUAGGGAAUAACCUUUUCCAUUAUAUUUACAAUUAUUACCUUUUAGUCGAAAUAAACGCGAAAAAUGCAAACCAAAAUAAUACGGUAUUUAAUUUCCGCAAAGGGGUUUGUAAAACCGAUAUUGGGCUGGUUAUACCCAAUCCUGCCUUUUAACCAGCGCAAAACAAAUUUUGGGGUAUUUAUAAUUUAUUAAAUAAUGUGCGAAAAUUUUUAAAACAAAGUUUAUUAACGUUUUUUUAUCCAACGAUUAUUUUAUUUGCAACUAAUAUUAUAGGGUCGAUUGGAAAUAUAUUGGAAAUUCGGAGUUGACAAAAUAUACGUAACGCCAGGGCUAUAACACCUAUCCGUAAUUAGGUAAAUAUUUUAUCGGAAAAAAAAAAUAUAAACGUAUUAUUUCGACAAAUAAAAUUACCUGAGGAAAUUUAUUUUAAUCGGCGGUUUGAACGAUUAUAUAUAUUACCAAAAUGUGUAACAAAACGCAAUUUUGCCGAAAAUUAUACCAUACCCGCUAACAAACGUUGCAAAAAAGUUAAUAUAAAACAAUUGGUUACCCAUAUUGGAAAUGGAAAAACCAAAUUUGGAUUUCGUGCCUUUGUUCAAUUAUAUUUUACUAAUAUAAAAA
RNAcentral lists this small RNA (4914 nucleotides) under Pyricularia oryzae. RNAcentral describes it as "Magnaporthe oryzae sRNA M_BR32_EuGene_00127721". Lineage: Eukaryota; Fungi; Ascomycota; Sordariomycetes; Magnaporthales; Pyriculariaceae. The record is from RNAcentral.